RNAcentral lists this ribosomal RNA (869 nucleotides) under uncultured soil bacterium. RNAcentral describes it as "bacterial SSU rRNA". It matches the Rfam family "Bacterial small subunit ribosomal RNA", at positions 35 to 916 of the family's 1533-position model. The record is from RNAcentral.
GGGGGGGGGGUGCCUAAACUUGCAAGUCGCACGUCCUGCCUGGUUUCGGCCAGGCAGGGAGUGGCGGACGGGUGAGUAACACGUGGGUAACCUACCCCCUGGUGAGGAAUACCGACGAGAAAUCGUCGACAAGACCGCAUACGCUCUCUCGCAAGAGAGCAAAGCUGCUGACGCGAGUCGGUGGCGCCAGAGGAUGGGCCUGCGGCCGAUUAGCUAGUUGGUGGGGUAACGGCUCACCAAGGCGACGAUCGGUAGCUGGUCUGAGAGGACGAUCAGCCACACUGGGAUUGAGAACGGCCCAGACUCCUACGGGGGGCAGCAGUGAGGAAUUUUCCGCAAUGGAGGCAACUCUGACGGAGCAACGCCGCGUGCAGGACGACGCGUUUCGGCGUGUAAACUGCUUUUCUGGGGGACGAGCAAGGACGGUACCCCAGGAAGAAGCCCCGGCUAACUACGUGCCAGCAGCCGCGGUAAUACGUAGGGGGCGAGCGUUGUCCGGAGUUACUGGGCGUAAAGGGCACGCAGGUGGUGCGGCGCGUGUCGCGUGACAGCGGGUGGCUUAACUGCCCGAGGGUGCGACAGACGGCCGGACUUGAGGGCCAGAGAGGGACCUGGAAUUCCGGGUGGAGUGGUGAAAUGCGUAGAUAUCCGGAGGAACACCAAAGGCGAAGGCAGGGUCCUGGCUGGUGACUGACGCUGAGGUGCGAAGGCUAGGGGAGCGAACGGGAUUAGAUACCCCGGUAGUCCUAGCCGUAAACGAUGACCACCAGGCGUGGGAGGUAUCGACCCCUUCCGUGCCGGCGUAAACACACUAAGUGGUCCGCCUGGGGGAGUACGGUCGCAAGAUUAAACCUCAAAGGAAUUGAACG